Molecule: ribosomal RNA, 298 nt
Filed under: uncultured Sphingomonadaceae bacterium
Lineage: Bacteria; Pseudomonadati; Pseudomonadota; Alphaproteobacteria; Sphingomonadales; Sphingomonadaceae
Description: partial 16S ribosomal RNA
Rfam family: Bacterial small subunit ribosomal RNA
Source: RNAcentral
UAACGCGUGGGAAUCUGCCCUUAGGUACGGAAUAACUCAGGGAAACUUGAGCUAAUACCGUAUAAUGACUCCGGUCCAAAGAUUUAUCGCCUGAGGAUGAGCCCGCGUCGGAUUAGCUAGUUGGUGAGGUAAGAGCUCACCAAGGCGACGAUCCGUAGCUGGUCUGAGAGGAUGAUCAGCCACACUGGGACUGAGACACGGCCCAGACUCCUACGGGAGGCAGCAGUGGGGAAUAUUGGACAAUGGGGGCAACCCUGAUCCAGCAAUGCCGCGUGGGUGAUGAAGGCCUUAGGGUUGU